Molecule: transfer-messenger RNA, 358 nt
Filed under: Chloroflexota bacterium
Lineage: Bacteria; Bacillati; Chloroflexota
Rfam family: transfer-messenger RNA
About the family: Bacterial tmRNA, also known as 10Sa RNA or SsrA, is named for its dual tRNA and mRNA-like properties. Its role is to liberate the mRNA from a stalled ribosome.
Source: RNAcentral
GGGGAUGUCAGGUUUCGACAGGGCCCAGGAACCGGGAAUCGCGAGCCGAGGUCGCCCGCAGGCCUCGUAAAACCGCGGGCAAACCGUAACUGGCAACCGUCAGUUCGCUCUCGCUGCUUAGGCAGUGAGCAUCGACGCCGUCCCCUCUCCCCGGGCGGCGAAGGUGUCAUUUGGGGAGAUGCGACGUCGCCGACUCCGGUGAGUGGCGUCAAAGAGCCGAGAGGCAACCGGAUAGGGCGCGGAGCACCCCGCCGGUUGGGGGCCCGAGGCCCGAAACCCAAAUAGGCCGGACACGCUCGUAGUGAGACCCGGCGACAUGGUCUUGGACGGGGAGUUCGAUUCUCCCCCAUCUCCACCA